This 1934-nucleotide long non-coding RNA is filed under the name Sus scrofa (pig). RNAcentral's name for it is "lncRNA (ENSSSCG00000048772.1)". The record is from RNAcentral. Lineage: Eukaryota; Metazoa; Chordata; Mammalia; Artiodactyla; Suidae.
CUUCCUAAUCACAAUAGCCUUCACCUGGGAAAUUUCCUCCUUAUCUGGCGAAACAGCUUGUUUAGGGUUCCAUCUGGCCUGCUCAGUUAGGCCUGUUUCUGUUGCUGUUUAAUUUGGAACCGUCCAUAUACAUCAAGUCUGAGCAACACUGGACCCACUGCAGGCGGGCGGAGUGGCUGUUCCUCCUGACUAUACCAACAUCUUCCACUCGUGCUCAAGACCUGCCUGGAGGCUUCUGACUUGGGAAUCCCUGGUGUAUAAGGAGGAUUUAUAAACAGCCAACAUUUGCUCAUCAUUAUCCUGGGGAAAAUAUGGCAAAGGAUGUCGAAACAGUAGAAAACAGUUUCCUUUUAACAAAGUGAAAGCAGCUGGUUUACACAAGAAUUAUUCAUUGGGUUCGUGGAAGUCGGGUGUGCCCUGAUUUGAAUGCUUUAUUGCUCAGAUAUACAGGCGACAAAAAUGCCCCUGGGUUCUUCGCUGGGGCUAGUCAUCAGUUGCUAUACUCCUGGCUCAUUUCCUGUGACACUCAUUUUAAGUGCUGGAUGGGACUGGAGAGGUGGCCUGGUAAUUUUCCUGUCUAGUCUGCUGAUUAGUAGGAGGUGACUUUCCUGAGGGUCAUAGGGGUUAGUAGAAUGAAUGGAGAUUUUCGUGUAUGGUUAGGAAAGAUGACACCCAGAAAAUUGAACUACUUAAAAGAAAAAAAAAAACUUUAUCGUGCUCCAUUCAGAGGGUGGAGAAUGUUAUAUCAUCUGGCCCUUUACUCAUUCAAUAAAUAUUCAUUAAGCACUGACUUUGUGCCAUGCACUGUGCUAAACUGAGGAUGCAAUGGUAAAGGAGACUGGAUCCCCUGGCCUGGAGUUUCAGUCUGAAAGUUGUUAUCCAAAUAUUUAUACCUGAUAGUGACCUAAAGGAUGACCAGUGCCAGCUUAAAGGCAGAGCAAAGAUCUAUCCAUUUAGGGUCCCCAAAGAAAUCCACAGUACUCCCAACUGUUUGCUUUCAAACAGGUAUAUUUUGCCUUGAAAAACAUUUUCCAAAGGUCCUGUUUUCCCUCACCUCUAAGACAUCUCCACCAAUGUAAAUACCCUUGGUAAGGGUGAAACCUCAAACCGCUCCAGGGCCCAGCAGCUAACAGAUGAGUGGGGCCAGUGAAACUGGGCUAGCUGUGGAGAGGCAGGAACCUUGGCCCAAUGCUGCCAGAGUCUCAGGGUUUGUGAGAGAAGCCGGAAAUUGGCAUUUAAAAAAGAUAAUAGGAGUUCCCAUCCAUUUCUUUCAAAAAUAUUUUUAAACCCAGUAUAGAUCAUUAAAAAUGAGUUUGCUGGAGUUCCCAUUGUAGCUUAGAAGGUUAACAAUACAAUAUUUUCUCUUUGUGGAUGCAAGUCAGAUCCCUGGCCUCACUCAGCGGGUUGAGGAUCUGGGGUUGCCGUGAAAUGUGGUGUAGGUCACAGAUGCGGCUCAGAUCCCAAGUUGCUGUGGCUGUGGUGUAGGCUGGCAGCUAUAGCUCCAAAUGGACCUGGGGAACCUCCAUAUGCCACAGGUGCAGUCAUAAAAAAAAAAAAGGUUCACAAGAGUUCCUUGGUGGUCUAGUGAGUUAAGGACAUCAUCACUGCUCUGCUGCACAUUCUAUCCCUGGCCCGAGCACUUCCACAUGCCUUGGAUGUGGCAAGAAAAAAAAGAGGAGGUUGUAGUUAGAUUUCAGUUUAAAAAUCCCCAGGUUGUGAUCUCCUACUCCAGAAGACUCCCUGCCACACCCCCUCAUUGUAUUUUACACAAAUCCUACCAAGAACUGACACUCUGGAAUUAACCUUUUUCAGGAAGUCCUGCUGGGCCUCUCAUGUUUUUGAAAAUCCAACACAUGGAGAUAUUUAGACUUCCUGCACCUCUCUCUCUUUCUCUCAAUAUUUCUCUUUCUCAUUACUCUUGCUGUAUAUCCAAA